Molecule: ribosomal RNA, 253 nt
Filed under: uncultured bacterium
Lineage: Bacteria
Description: partial 16S ribosomal RNA
Rfam family: Bacterial small subunit ribosomal RNA
Source: RNAcentral
UACGUAGGGUGCGAGCGUUAAUCGGAAUUAUUGGGCGUAAAGAGCUCGUAGGCGGUUUGUUGCGUCGGCUGUGAAAUCCCGAGGCUCAACCUCGGGUCUGCAGUCGAUACGAGCAAACUAGAGUGUUGCAGGGGAGACUGGAAUUCCUGGUGUAGCGGUGAAAUGCGCAGAUAUCAGGAGGAACACCGGUGGCGAAGGCGGGUCUCUGGGCAACAACUGACGCUGAGGAGCGAAAGCGUGGGGAGCGAACAGG